This 199-nucleotide long non-coding RNA is filed under the name Elaeis guineensis (African oil palm). RNAcentral describes it as "long non-coding RNA (EGUI_LNC026948)". Lineage: Eukaryota; Viridiplantae; Streptophyta; Magnoliopsida; Arecales; Arecaceae. The record is from RNAcentral.
GGUUUUCUUGAAGCCAUAUUAGAUCGAAUUGCUACCUGCUUCCAACUUGGUUUCGUCCAAUUCGCUCCAAUCUGAAAUUUUGAGCUUCGCAGCAACAGAACUAACCUGCCUUUUCUUCGUUCUUUUAUCGGUUGCAGUUUGAGCAAUAUUCAUCUCUAAUAUUAUCAUAUAAAAUUUUAAUUCAAUAGUUAACUGCCAC